UGCCGCGACGGUUGUUUACCUUUUGCCGACGCAGAAUGGCACAAAAAAUCUAUUCCGCGGUGCUUACGGACUCGGUGUUGAUGAUUGCAGGAGCAUUGUGAAUUACAAAUGAUGUUUUAAACGCCUCGGGAAACCAGACAGAGUGGAGGAAUGCACGCUGGACGUCAUCUGGUGCAACUGCAAAAUCCUGAUUCGCCACCUAUGCACGGAAUCUCAUCACGAAUGUUUUCUGGCUGAAUACGGUUGAGGACUAGAAUGCCAAAUACACGACGGAAACACGCAGUGGCGUUACCCAUUAGUCCAUUACGGCAAAAAUGACCAUAUAUACGGUAUCAGGAAGUCUUGCAGCAGUUCUAAGAGGAGAUACGCGCAGCAAUUCAGCAA
Aedes aegypti (yellow fever mosquito) is the source of this 384-nucleotide long non-coding RNA. RefSeq lists it as uncharacterized. The record is from RefSeq and is a predicted model, not a curated record. The transcript is spliced from 2 exons. Lineage: Eukaryota; Metazoa; Arthropoda; Insecta; Diptera; Culicidae.